This 1511-nucleotide long non-coding RNA is filed under the name Mytilus galloprovincialis (Mediterranean mussel). Lineage: Eukaryota; Metazoa; Mollusca; Bivalvia; Mytilida; Mytilidae. The record is from RNAcentral.
GCUUGCAUUUGUCUUCUCAUUUAGCUUUCUUAAUUUUAUUUCUAGAUUUUUUAUGUCAUUUUUAUUUUCAGAUGAUCUUUGUUUGCAGUAAGAAAGAGUUGCAGUUCUUACCUCUGAUUUAAACAUAUCCCAGAGUGUUUUUAAAUUUUUGGUGAGUAUUUGUUUUUUAUGGUUUUUAAUUAAGUUGUUUAUGAGGUCAAUAUAUUUUUGCUCUUUAAGUAUACUAUUGUUUAUUUGAAAGUAACCCCUGCCUCUUUCUUCUGAAUUUUGUCUAACUUGUAAUGAAAUGGCCUGGUGAUCAGUGUACGAGAUCAUUGCGGGUCGAAUAUCUACUUUCAUAACAUGCGGUCUUAUAUCAGGACUAAUCAAGAAGAAGUCAAUUCUGCUUGCUAUGUUUGUAUCAUUUUUCCUUCUCCAUGUGAAUUGACUAGUAUUUGGAUUAAGUUCUCUCCAUAUAUCUGUUAAAUUAUUUUUCUUUAUUAGUUUUUUUAAACUAUUUACAGGUUUGUAGUUUCUUGGGAGGAUAUUAGUUCUUCUAUCAUUAAUUGAGAGAGUUUCGUUCAUGUCACCUCCUAAUAUAAGGAUACCCAAACGAUUGUUUUCAAUUAUAUUUUGAACCUUUUUGAAAAAUUUGUUUCUGUUUUUGUGUUGAUUUGGAGCAUAUACAUUUAUUAGAGUAAAAAUAUUGUCAUUUAUUUCUAUGUUUAUCAAAAUUAUUCUACCUUCAUUAUCCUUUAUCUCGUUUAUUGUUUUACAUUUUAAAUUAUUUUUGACAAAGAUUGAAACACCUCUUGAUUGUGUGUUACCAUAACUAUGAAACAUUUUGCCAUCAAACUCAUUAUUUAUUGUUUGUUCAAUAUUUUCUAUAAAAUGUGACUCUUGAAUGAAAAGAAUGUUACAUUUUUGAUUUUUUGUCCAUAAUUGUAAUCUUUCUCUUUUGCUUUUUUGGCCUAAACCUUGACAGUUUAGUGAUAUCAUAUGAAGAUUUUCACCCAUUGUUUAGUUUAGAGUUUAAAUGUGUAGUUGAUAUCAAAACUACAUUUAGAAGGAGACAUAUUUGUUUUUACCUCAUAUUCAGAAAGUACUGUCAUUAAAUGUUUGGUUUUAAAGUUACACAAUGUACUAUAAAAACAUUGGUACAUGUACAUGAUUAUUUGUGAAUUUUAAAAAUAUAUACAGUACCAGUAAACAAAAUAUAUACACAUACUUAACCAUGUUCAUGAAAGUAAAUGAGACAUAGAAACACAAACAUAUAUUAGCAUACAUACAUGUACAUGUAUUUAAACACAUAUUUUCAUUUAUUUGUUCCCAUACAUUAGAUUGUACUAUUGCUUUUUUGCCAUAAUUUGAUACUAUAAAUAUAUAAUAAAAAGACAGAUAUUUUUGUUAUAUCAUGUAUAAUAAUUUCAUUUUUAUUUAUUUUUAGGUUUGUUAUUUUAACAGUAUAAUGAGAUUGUAGGACCAUGUUCAUGAUGUAGGAGUUUACCAUGUUUACAAUACUUACGGAAACA